RNAcentral lists this long non-coding RNA (274 nucleotides) under Nicotiana benthamiana. Its description in RNAcentral is "long non-coding RNA (NBEN_LNC018712)". The record is from RNAcentral. Lineage: Eukaryota; Viridiplantae; Streptophyta; Magnoliopsida; Solanales; Solanaceae.
AUAGCAGUAAAACCCUAGGUUCAACCACCGAAAACCCUAGAAUCUGGAGAGUCACCGGAAAAAGGUCAGGGAUGUCGGAAAAUCACCCAAAACAUCCACUGAGCAAAGAUCAGAGCAUCAAACAACAGUAAAAACUCCGAUUAUCCGUUCAGUACACAUCGUUCUCUCUGUAAACAAAAUCUCUCACAAAUAUCCGAAAAAAACCUUCGAUAAAACUUCCAACGCAAUCGAUAACAAGUGACGGAGAAGAAUCCGAGAAUCAUCCCGCUCUGAU